CCGCCCGUCACAUCACGAAAGUGGAUUGUACUAGAAGCCUGUAUGCCGACCCGCAAGGGGGCAGCGGUCCAAGGUAUGAUUCAUGAUUGGGGUG
RNAcentral lists this ribosomal RNA (94 nucleotides) under uncultured bacterium. Its description in RNAcentral is "partial 16S ribosomal RNA". It matches the Rfam family "Bacterial small subunit ribosomal RNA", at positions 1390 to 1482 of the family's 1533-position model. The record is from RNAcentral.